AUGUUCCAUUUCUCCAUGUCAGCAGGUGUAAAUGUAACAGCAUCGGGGAGGCACAGAAAAGAGAUUGGCCUGACGCAUGCUGAUACAUGCACACACCUAAAACCCAGAUGUUCUUUAACCAGCCUACAAAUUCCUUCAAAACAAUUUGUAGCAGUAUCCAUUCUGCCCAGCCACCCAUACAGAACUGUGCUGAUACUGCCACCACUCAGCUGUUCUUGGUGGCUGGGCCUGCGUCUCCUCAGCCUGCCCAGGUACAGCAUCCCACCCGCCAUGGACCCAGCCCAUGUCAGGUGCAGGACCAAGACCCAGCUACACUGAGAGCAUUUGAAGCCCGAGAAAAAUUACAGAGAAGCACAGCUUGUGACUGAUUCUAGGGCUGAGGCAGUGAAGCAAUGAUUAGGACUACCUUUUGGGAUGCAUGCGUGUGUGACAGGAGGAUGGGGAUAAGGAAUGGGGAAUGCAAGCAUGGUUUCCACUGUAUCUAAUACAAUACUGAAUAGCAGCUACUGACAUCCAAGCAAGCUAGGUUUGGAAAACGACGGCCUGUUCUGGCAUCCAUACAGAACUGUUCUGAUACUGCCACCACUCAGCUGUUCUUGGUGGCCGGGCCUGCGUCUCCUCAGCCUGCCCAGGUACAGCAUCCCACCCGCCAUGGACCCAGCCCAUGUCAGGUGCAGGACCAAGACCCAGCUACACUGAGAGCAUUUGAAGCCCGAGAAAAAUUACAGAGAAGCACAGCUUGUGACUGAUUCUAGGGCUGAGGCAGUGAAGCAAUGAUUAGGACUACCUUUUGGGAUGCAUGUGUGUGUGACAGGAGGAUGGAGAUAAGGAAUGGGAAUGCAAGCAUGGUUUCCACUGUAUCUAAUACAAUACUGAAUAGCAGCUACUGACAUCCAAGCAAGCUAGGUUUGGAAAACGACGGCCUGUUCUGAAUUGCACUGUUUCCGUUAAUUUUGAUUUUUUUAUGCCUUUACUGGAACCUGGUUUGAGGUAAUUUUGUUUAAUCCUCUGACUGGAAAGAUCUUGUUUACUUCUUCUUAUAAAGGAGUGUUUAGACUUCAUUAUCUUGUCCUGGUAGGUUGGUUUGUUGCAGGAAUUCAAACGAUAGUGUUUGUUUAGCAAAAAACUGGAGCACUCAUACUGACAAUAUUGAAUUGGAAAAGAUAGCUAAAAAAAUCACUUCAUCAGCUUCUCAUCUAGUAGUGCUUCAAUGAGUCAAAACUAUGUAAGCUUGCUUAAUAAAAGUCCAUACUCUUUUCAUCUUUCUUUUGUUUUUUUUCCUUCAGAAAAUACAAUGUAACAUUAUAAUAGAUGAAAGGAGUGUUUGAGUUUUGCUACUCUUAUGCCAAAGUAGGGUUCUGAUAAUUCACUUCAUCCCAAAAGAUGAGAACUUUAAAUUAUCUAAGUGUUUGUUCUGUAUCUGCUGAAUGAAUAUAUGUGCUGGUUUUGGCUAGGUUUUGGUAGAAUCAAUUUUCUUCAUGAUAGUUGGUAUGGGGCUGUGUUUUGGAUUUGUGCUGGAAGAAGUGGUGAUAACAAAGGGACAUUCUUGUUGUUGCUGAGCUGCACUUGCAUAGUAUCAAGGCCUUUUCUGCCUCUUACCCCAAACCACCAUUGAGGAGGCUUGGGGGGCACAUGGAGUUGUGAGGGAACACAGCCAGGACAGCUGACCCCAACUGACCAUAGGAAUAUCCCAGACCACAUGACAUCAUGCUCAGCAUGGAAAGCUGGGGGGAAGAAUGAUGACAUUUGUCUUCCCAAGUCACAUUACCUAUGCUGGAGCCCUGCUUUCCUGGGGAUGGCUGAACACCCACCUGCCCAUGGGAAGCAGUGACUGAGUUCCUUGUUUUGCUUUGCUUAUGUGCACAGCCUUUGUUUUCCCUAUUGUCUCAACCCACAAGUCUUCUCACUUUUAUCCUUCUGAUUCUCCCUUCCCUAUCCCACCAGUGUGAGUGUGAGUAGUUGGCAGCUGAGGUUAAACCAUGACAGCACCUUCUCUGUAAAUGAAUGUGUAUAUAUACUAGCCAAAACUUUAAAGUUUUGGAAACUUUCAUUUUUUUCCUGCUUGUGGCAAAACAUUUUUGAGCAAUCCUUUUGUCCGUGCUUACCAAGAAUAUUUGAAGCUGCAAAAUAAACAGUUGUAUCAUUAAUAAAUGGAUGUAUUUGUGCUUAUUGGUAUGUUAUCCGCAUUUCUGCUAGCUCUAGUGUGACUCCUCAGGCAUUUUUUCCUGCUUGUGGCAAAACAUUUUUGAGCAAUCCUUUUGUCCGUGCUUACCAAGAAUAUUUGAAGCUGCAAAAUAAACAGUUGUAUCAUUAAUAAAUGGAUGUAUUUGUGCUUAUUGGUAUGUUAUCCGCAUUUCUGCUAGCUCUAUUUCUACAGCAAGAUUUAGCAAUCAAGUGAGGUUCCUAUUUUAUGCCACAUGAGCUAUUAAUAUGAAGUCUGGACUAUUGUAGCUUCAAUGAGGUAUUGUCUUGCC
Molecule: long non-coding RNA, 2474 nt
Filed under: Ficedula albicollis (Collared flycatcher)
Lineage: Eukaryota; Metazoa; Chordata; Aves; Passeriformes; Muscicapidae
Description: lncRNA (ENSFALG00000024454.1)
Source: RNAcentral